CCAAAGGCUUUUUAAUAGUAAAAGCCACCAAGUGCAAAUUUAAAGAUUUCG
Non-coding RNA from Triticum aestivum (bread wheat), 51 nucleotides. The record is from Rfam. Lineage: Eukaryota; Viridiplantae; Streptophyta; Magnoliopsida; Poales; Poaceae.